GACGAACGCUGGCGGCGUGCUUAACACAUGCAAGUCGAACGGAAAGGCCCUGCUUUUGUGGUGUGCUCGAGGGGCGAACGGGUGAGGAACACGUGAGUAACCUGCCCUUGACUUUGGGAUAACUUCAGGAAACUGGGGCUAAUACCGGAUAGGAGCUCCUGCUGCAUGGUGGGGGUUGGAAAGUUGCGGCGGUUGGGGAUGGACUCGCGGCUUAUCAGCUUGUUGGUGGGGUAGUGGCUUACCAAGGCCUUGACGGGUAGCCGGCCUGAGAGGGUGACCGGCCACAUUGGGACUGAGAUACGGCACAGACUCCUACGGGAGGCAGCAGUGGGGAAUGUUGCACAAUGGGCGGAGGCCUGAUGCAGCAACGCCGCGUCGGGGAUGGCGGCAUUCGGGUUGUAUACCGCUUUCGCCUGUGACGAAGCGUGAGUGACGGUAAUGGGUAAAGAAGCACCGGCUAACUACGUG
RNAcentral lists this ribosomal RNA (468 nucleotides) under uncultured bacterium. Its description in RNAcentral is "partial 16S ribosomal RNA". It matches the Rfam family "Bacterial small subunit ribosomal RNA", at positions 28 to 507 of the family's 1533-position model. The record is from RNAcentral.